This 494-nucleotide ribosomal RNA is filed under the name uncultured bacterium. Its description in RNAcentral is "partial 16S ribosomal RNA". It matches the Rfam family "Bacterial small subunit ribosomal RNA", at positions 28 to 507 of the family's 1533-position model. The record is from RNAcentral.
GACGAACGCUGGCGGCGUGCCUAAUACAUGCAAGUCGAACGGUUUAGUUCCAAGAGGCAAGACUCUUGGAACUAAGCAGUGGCGGACGGGUGAGUAACACGUAGGCAACCUACCUGUCAAACCGGGAUAACCUCGGGAAACCGAAGCUAAACCCGGAUAAGCUCCUUUUUCGCAUGAAGGGGGAGUGAAAAGGUGCGACCUGAUGACAGAUGGGCCUGCGGCGCAUUAGCUAGUAGGUAGGGUAACGGCCUACCUAGGCGAUGAUGCGUAGCCGACCUGAGAGGGCGUACGGCCACACUGGGACUGGGAUACGGCCCAGACUCCUACGGGAGGCAGCAGUAGGGAAUCUUCGGCAAUGGGCGAAAGCCUGACCGAGCAACGCCGCGUGAGUGAGGAAGGCCUUCGGGUUGUAAAACUCUGUUGUUUGGGAAGAAGGGAAAGGGUAGGACCCUUAGGUGACGGUACCAAACGAGAAAGCCCUGGCUAACUACGUG